GGUGACAUAGCCAAGCGGUAAGGCACAGGUCUGCAACACCUCCACCGGCGGUUCAAAUCCGCCUGUCACCU
This 71-nucleotide transfer RNA is filed under the name Butyrivibrio sp. Its description in RNAcentral is "tRNA-Cys". It matches the Rfam family "tRNA". Rfam says of the family: Transfer RNA (tRNA) molecules are approximately 80 nucleotides in length. Their secondary structure includes four short double-helical elements and three loops (D, anti-codon, and T loops). Further hydrogen bonds mediate the characteristic L-shaped molecular structure. tRNAs have two regions of fundamental functional importance: the anti-codon, which is responsible for specific mRNA codon recognition, and the 3' end, to which the tRNAs corresponding amino acid is attached (by aminoacyl-tRNA synthetases). tRNAs cope with the degeneracy of the genetic code in two manners: having more than one tRNA (with a specific anti-codon) for a particular amino acid; and 'wobble' base-pairing, i.e. permitting non-standard base-pairing at the 3rd anti-codon position. The record is from RNAcentral. Lineage: Bacteria; Bacillati; Bacillota; Clostridia; Lachnospirales; Lachnospiraceae.